GUUAAGCGACUAAGCGUACACGGUGGAUGCCCUGGCAGUCAGAGGCGAUGAAGGACGUGCUAAUCUGCGAUAAGCGUCGGUAAGGUGAUAUGAACCGUUAUAACCGGCGAUUUCCGAAUGGGGAAACCCAGUGUGAUUCGUCACACUAUCAUUAACUGAAUCCAUAGGUUAAUGAGGCGAACCGGGGGAACUGAAACAUCUAAGUACCCCGAGGAAAAGAAAUCAACCGAGAUUCCCCCAGUAGCGGCGAGCGAACGGGGAGCAGCCCAGAGCCUGAAUCAGUGUGUGUGUUAGUGGAAGCGUCUGGAAAGGCGCGCGAUACAGGGUGACAGCCCCGUACACAAAAAUGCACAUGCUGUGAGCUCGAUGAGUAGGGCGGGACACGUGGUAUCCUGUCUGAAUAUGGGGGGACCAUCCUCCAAGGCUAAAUACUCCUGACUGACCGAUAGUGAACCAGUACCGUGAGGGAAAGGCGAAAAGAACCCCGGCGAGGGGAGUGAAAAAGAACCUGAAACCGUGUACGUACAAGCAGUGGGAGCACGCUUAGGCGUGUGACUGCGUACCUUUUGUAUAAUGGGUCAGCGACUUAUAUUCUGUAGCAAGGUUAACCGAAUAGGGGAGCCGAAGGGAAACCGAGUCUUAACUGGGCGUUAAGUUGCAGGGUAUAGACCCGAAACCCGGUGAUCUAGCCAUGGGCAGGUUGAAGGUUGGGUAACACUAACUGGAGGACCGAACCGACUAAUGUUGAAAAAUUAGCGGAUGACUUGUGGCUGGGGGUGAAAGGCCAAUCAAACCGGGAGAUAGCUGGUUCUCCCCGAAAGCUAUUUAGGUAGCGCCUCGUGAAUUCAUCUCCGGGGGUAGAGCACUGUUUCGGCAAGGGGGUCAUCCCGACUUACCAACCCGAUGCAAACUGCGAAUACCGGAGAAUGUUAUCACGGGAGACACACGGCGGGUGCUAACGUCCGUCGUGAAGAGGGAAACAACCCAGACCGCCAGCUAAGGUCCCAAAGUCAUGGUUAAGUGGGAAACGAUGUGGGAAGGCCCAGACAGCCAGGAUGUUGGCUUAGAAGCAGCCAUCAUUUAAAGAAAGCGUAAUAGCUCACUGGUCGAGUCGGCCUGCGCGGAAGAUGUAACGGGGCUAAACCAUGCACCGAAGCUGCGGCAGCGACACUAUGUGUUGUUGGGUAGGGGAGCGUUCUGUAAGCCUGUGAAGGUGUACUGUGAGGUAUGCUGGAGGUAUCAGAAGUGCGAAUGCUGACAUAAGUAACGAUAAAGCGGGUGAAAAGCCCGCUCGCCGGAAGACCAAGGGUUCCUGUCCAACGUUAAUCGGGGCAGGGUGAGUCGACCCCUAAGGCGAGGCCGAAAGGCGUAGUCGAUGGGAAACAGGUUAAUAUUCCUGUACUUGGUGUUACUGCGAAGGGGGGACGGAGAAGGCUAUGUUGGCCGGGCGACGGUUGUCCCGGUUUAAGCGUGUAGGCUGGUUUUCCAGGCAAAUCCGGAAAAUCAAGGCUGAGGCGUGAUGACGAGGCACUACGGUGCUGAAGCAACAAAUGCCCUGCUUCCAGGAAAAGCCUCUAAGCAUCAGGUAACAUCAAAUCGUACCCCAAACCGACACAGGUGGUCAGGUAGAGAAUACCAAGGCGCUUGAGAGAACUCGGGUGAAGGAACUAGGCAAAAUGGUGCCGUAACUUCGGGAGAAGGCACGCUGAUAUGUAGGUGAAGUCCCUCGCGGAUGGAGCUGAAAUCAGUCGAAGAUACCAGCUGGCUGCAACUGUUUAUUAAAAACACAGCACUGUGCAAACACGAAAGUGGACGUAUACGGUGUGACGCCUGCCCGGUGCCGGAAGGUUAAUUGAUGGGGUUAGCGCAAGCGAAGCUCUUGAUCGAAGCCCCGGUAAACGGCGGCCGUAACUAUAACGGUCCUAAGGUAGCGAAAUUCCUUGUCGGGUAAGUUCCGACCUGCACGAAUGGCGUAAUGAUGGCCAGGCUGUCUCCACCCGAGACUCAGUGAAAUUGAACUCGCUGUGAAGAUGCAGUGUACCCGCGGCAAGACGGAAAGACCCCGUGAACCUUUACUAUAGCUUGACACUGAACAUUGAGCCUUGAUGUGUAGGAUAGGUGGGAGGCUUUGAAGUGUGGACGCCAGUCUGCAUGGAGCCGACCUUGAAAUACCACCCUUUAAUGUUUGAUGUUCUAACGUUGACCCGUAAUCCGGGUUGCGGACAGUGUCUGGUGGGUAGUUUGACUGGGGCGGUCUCCUCCUAAAGAGUAACGGAGGAGCACGAAGGUUGGCUAAUCCUGGUCGGACAUCAGGAGGUUAGUGCAAUGGCAUAAGCCAGCUUGACUGCGAGCGUGACGGCGCGAGCAGGUGCGAAAGCAGGUCAUAGUGAUCCGGUGGUUCUGAAUGGAAGGGCCAUCGCUCAACGGAUAAAAGGUACUCCGGGGAUAACAGGCUGAUACCGCCCAAGAGUUCAUAUCGACGGCGGUGUUUGGCACCUCGAUGUCGGCUCAUCACAUCCUGGGGCUGAAGUAGGUCCCAAGGGUAUGGCUGUUCGCCAUUUAAAGUGGUACGCGAGCUGGGUUUAGAACGUCGUGAGACAGUUCGGUCCCUA
RNAcentral lists this ribosomal RNA (2612 nucleotides) under Escherichia coli. RNAcentral's name for it is "partial 23S ribosomal RNA". It matches the Rfam family "Bacterial large subunit ribosomal RNA". Lineage: Bacteria; Pseudomonadati; Pseudomonadota; Gammaproteobacteria; Enterobacterales; Enterobacteriaceae. The record is from RNAcentral.